Bos taurus (domestic cattle) is the source of this 2814-nucleotide long non-coding RNA. Lineage: Eukaryota; Metazoa; Chordata; Mammalia; Artiodactyla; Bovidae. The record is from Ensembl.
CCACCCACCCCCCCGCGUGCAGGCCCGCGUCCCCGUUUCGCCGGCCCAUCCCGGGUCCCCGACAGGCUUCUCCGCCAGGUGUGCGCCGGCGCCCGGGAGACCUUGCCGUGCAGCGUACUCGCAGCCCCGCCCGCGGUGCCCAGUCUGGGGGAGCCGCGCUAACCCCCGCCCCGCCGCCAGGAACCCCUCCCCGGGGCCACGCUCGAGCUAUCCGGCGCUGCGUCUGCGCUGGGGACGGCUCCGCCCAGUUCUGCAGCCAGGGGUCCGGCGUUCUGGCCAGACCAGUGGUCCGAAUGUGAGAAGACUUAGGGCUCCGCCGCUCUCUCGGGCUGUUCCCCGAAGUGGUUCUGGGAGCCUAGAGGCAUAGGGGCUUAAGGAAGGAAGGGACAGGGCCAGGGAGGGCGGGAGCGAGAAGGAGGAGAGGGCAGGUCAGCGGAACUGGGAUGGGGCGCAGCCCAGCGGCGGGCACGGCCGGAGGAGAGAGAGGGCGCUGUCUUCCUGGCAAAGGAUCCCUGGCUUGGCCGGCAGGAACCGAAACAAAAAAAAAAGAAGAAGAAGAAGAAAGAAAGAAAGCACAGGAAAGGAAAUCUGCCUGGUCGACCCGGGGCGGAGGAGGGUGGGGGGUGAGGGACGCACUGUGGGGAGGGCCAAGGGUGGCCGAGCGGAUUCUCAGCCCACAGCCCAGCAACCGCUUCUUCUGCUGCGGCCUUGCUAGCGCCGCGUGGCCCCGAGCGAGACUCUUCUUUGGCCCUAAAGGGCCCCCCACAGUUGGCUUCCCUCCCUCGCUUUCUCCUCUGGAAAACUGGAGGCGUCGGUAUAAGGUCUGCGACGCUUCACUGGCGAUUGAGGUGCCGCGACGUGGCCAAGGAGCCCGCGGAAGAAAACCGCAACGCCAACCAGGCCUUCACGUCGAAGCGCCGCAGCAAAUGGCCUCACCUGGUUUGGCUGCGUCUUGCCGAGGAACAAGGAGGAGGUGGAAGGCCCUCUUUCUUUCAUCGACUGACCUGGGCGCACACUCUGGAAACCAAAGGGUCCCAAGGACAAUUACUGUCAGACAUUCCCCCACUCAAAUCCAGGAAACUUAGUUUACACUACUUCAGGAGAAAUGCCUGUAUCAUCUACAAAGGAUGUGUUGUCUUUCCAUGCGCAUAACAAACCAGUUGAAGCAAAACAAAGGAUCUCAAACUUACGUAUCUUCAGUCUUGAAAGGUCCCUCUGUGUUAAUGGAUGUAAUUAAAGGCCUUCUAGGUUUGCUGAUAGAUACUAGAACCGAUCAUCUCACAUGUCCGCCAUCGGAGAGUCCCAAGCUCCAGUCUCCACGUGAAUUUCCGGACUCUUCCAUAGCCCUUCCGGUAGAAUCCAGGUGGCCCCAUAGUUCUGCCUUUAGCAGGAGAGCUAUUUCCUAGGAGUAACUGGGUGGGCUGCAAUCCGCCUGCCUCUUCACGUUGAGAAACGCUUCUCUUGUGGGAACGUCUGUUUCUAUUCAUCCGAUUUUCUAAUGUCUUUGAUCAGCCUAAAUAUUUUCUUGGCAAACGGAAAUUGACCAUGCCAUGAAUAUGAUAACAACCUGCUUGGAAAGAAGCUAUUUUGUUUCGAAGCAGCAAGGGGGAGUGGGGGGCCGGGAAGCCAGGGAAGGGAGUAGGGGUCGGGUAACUAGCUGGCUGGUAAGAAUGCCUGAAAUAGAUUCCUGAACAUACAUCUUUUUGCAGUCUCUGAAGCAGCUUUUUGAAAGAUAGUCAGAUAAACACACACCUGGGCUCCUAAAAGUCUUUGAUACACUUUAUAUUUAAAAAAACAGAACUUCAAUGGACGCCUCUGGAGAAUUUCCCUUUAAAACAUAGAUGAAAGGCAAGGUUAAUACAAUGUUCUCUUAAUCCCUUUGGCUUGUGAGUCAAAAUAAAUAUUUUCUUCUGCAUGUUAUUGUACAUCCUGCCAUUUGGCUGUGGCUAUAAGCAAAUCGACCGGUAAUAAAAGUGUUUUGAGGCUGUGUAUUAAAUGCAGUUCUCUUGAAAUCAAGGGUUGGGGGGAGGGAGGGGCCUUACUUCACAGGCAAGAGUUGGUGGGUUUCUGAAAAAGCUGCAAGAAAAAGACCUUUCACCUCUCAUUAGUGAUGCCAUCAGUGCUCAGGCAGAGUGGAGCUGAGGUCAUGUUACAUAUGGCACACAGUCUGCUCAGCACUUGAAACGUCAGCUUUGAAAUUUUAGAGAGGGGAAAGGUCAUCUUUAAUAAGCUAAAGUCUGGGGCUCCCAUUGCCCUCUUUGCAAACUGGGUGGGUGUCCAUAUGCUUCAAACCUUCUGCACAAGUUUUCUUUUUUUUAAUUUGCAGUUUUAAGCUGAUUUUUUGUUUCACAUCUUCAUUUAAGCUGUAAUGUUUUCAGCUGUUAAUACACCAAAAGGCCUUUCAUUUUUAUAGCAACUCUGUCAUCUUUCCUUUUCUUCUUAUGCAAUCAUAAAACUGUCUGUUCUGAGUGAUAGCUUUUUAGAACUCAGCUUCCCAGAAGAAAUGAAGUGUAUCUGUCCAUCUGCAUACAUGGAUCCAGACAUGUGGGCUAUAGGGUUACCCUUCUGAGUGGGUAAUUUAGACUUCACUUUUGUACACUACAUAAUUUACUGAACCUUCAAAACAUUAAAACUUCCAUAUUGUGUAAAAGCUCUAGUUUCUGAAAACUUCCUGGUACUACUAAAAUUUUUCAUGCCAUUUACUGAAAUUUCACAUUUUAUUUUUACCAUGUGGGGGAAACUCUCAAAUCAGAAGAUAUUGAUUCUUCUGUAAGGUUUAAAGUUAAGGUUGACAGAAGCUACAGUGGUAGAUAU